CAGUAGAUAGGUACCGUCACUCUGGACGUCCCGGUUAUUGUACUCAAAUAGACCACUUAGGUAGUGUAAAAUGACCAACAGUACAGCAAACAGCAUGGCCGCUAUGUCCUCGGCCGCUAGCUCAGACACCAUGUCUGAGGUGUCAGAUUCGGGAACGGGAACAUCUGGAAGGAGCUAUAGUGACAGCCGUGAAGAAAUGCAUCAGCUGGCAAUUACCUUGGGCUUAGAGUCAACAGAAGACUUAGCUAAGGAACGGUUUAAAGUCGACAGGAAAAAGCUCGAGGCCAUGUUACACUGUGAUGGAGAAGACGGGAUUACGGCAGUCAAUUUUUUUCAAAAAGUUAUGACUGAUACUAGAACAUUAAUAUUAUGGCCAACUAGGUUAAAAAUUGGAGCAAAAUCUAAAAAAGACCCACAUGUUCGAAUCGCAGGACUUCCAGAUGAUGUUAAAGCGGCCAAAAUGCAAGUAAUGAGCGUCUUAGAUGAUAGGAGUAAUCGUGUGACAAUGAAGUUGGACCUAAGCUACACUGACCAUUCUCAUAUUAUUGGGCGAGGAGGUCUGACAAUUAAGCAAGUAAUGGAAAAUACUGGAUGUCAUAUUCAUUUUCCGGAUUCAAACCGUACAAGUUUACUGGAAAAAAGUAAUCAAGUUUCUAUUGCUGGAAAUUGUGGUGCCGUCGAACGAGCUAGAGCACGUGUUCGGGAAUUGACUCCAUUGAUAUUUUGUUUUGAUUGGCCAAAUAUUGGAACUGUCCAAAAUUAUCAAGAUCCAUCUAGCCAAUUCCCAUACAUUGGUUCUAUUCAAGAAAAUUAUAAUGUUCAUGUCAUGUUUCGUACUAGACCAAAGCUUCAUUCAACUAUGGUUAUGGUGAAGGGUCACGAAUGGGAUGUAGUAAGGGUUAAGGAAGCAACCAUGCAACUUAUUACUCAUAUGUGUGGUAAUUUAGCAAGUCAAGUUUUAAUACUCAUGGUUAUGGAAAUAUCUCCGCAACAUCAUAAAAUUGUUAUGGGACCAGGCAAUGAAACUCUGAGAGCUAUUACCCGCCGUACUGGUGCUCAAAUAUUGUUUCCAGAUGCUAAAGAUCCUAACAUACCUUCAAUUAAAAAAAGUAGUGUCACAAUCACAGGACAUAUUCAUAAUGUCUACGCGGCUCGUCAAAUGCUUAUUGGCUCAUUACCAUUGCUUCUUAUGUUUGACAUACCGCAAGACGAAAUGGUGCUAACCCAUGAACAAAUCGACAGCGUAAUGCAACGUUUAGACAUACACAUUUCACUUAGACAUAAAGCUAGUCAAAAUAUUUAUACGGUUUCAAUAAAAGGUUUUGAAAGAUCUGUAGGUAACAUUUAUGAAGGACGUAGAUGUUUAUUGGGUGGUACUGGAGAAAGAAUAUCGCCAAAUAUACCGAAUACUUACAAUGUUUCCAAUGAAAAUCCCUCAUUUUUGAUAUCGAAUGGUGAAUUUUAUGGUGGUAAUCGCUAUCCUAAUAGACCUUUUAACAAUUUAGGAGGUCUAAAUAAUUUUACUAAUUUUGCUGGUCCAAUGACAUCCUCGUGUCGUAACAGUGUAGUUAGUUUACCUUUAGUAGGUAGCCACACAAGUAUUCCUCAAAUUAACGUGUUAGGACCAAGAAUCCAACAAUUGGCUAAUGAUUUAAAAAUGGACAAUUUAUCAACCAACAACAAUCACGUAGGAAAGUCAACGUUUAACUACAAUUUGCAAGAUUCAGCUAACUCAUCACCAAAUCAAAGUUUGUUAUCUAACAGUGAAUUAGAUCAAGAAAUGAUCGAAAACCGCGCGCCUGGUUUUCGCAGGCAACCAAUUACUUAUGAUUAUCAACAUUUACGAGUCGAUGCUGCUCGAGUAUCACAAGCGAAACCAAAUCGAUCAGAAAUCAGAGUACCUACGUCAGUGUGGUCAGGUUAUGGUUUCAGUCAAUCUAGUCCAUCUGCCUUGUUAAAAGGACAACGAGAAAAUGAGCAGAAUAUAUGGAGUAAUAACUCUCCAGAAGCAAAUGCUGAAAAUACUAUGGCAGAGUUAAUGCCAAUGGAAAUGAGUAAUCAUUUAGAUUCUACUCCUACGUCGACAGUAUCUAAGAUUACUUCAUCUUCAUUUACUGAUCUGCCAUCUCAUUUAGCAAUGCUUGGAUUAGAUAAGUAUAUAAAUUUGUUUAAAUCUCAUGAAAUUGAUUGGACCACUUUUAAGACGUUGACGGAGAGCGAUUUGCGAGAAAUCGGCGUCACUGCUUUGGGCGCUCGUAGAAAAAUUUUACUGUCUAUUGCUGGUAAUUACUUCAUUAUAAUAUAAUUAGGAUUAAACCAACGUAAAGAUGCAUAUUUGCUUAAGAUCACGGAGAUGGAAUUUAAAACUUAAAUGACCAUUUUGAGAAUUAGAUGAAUUAAACAAAAGAUGUCCGGUUGGUGGUUUAUUUGGUAUCAGCCCAGCUCCAGGAGCAGAAAGAAAGAGUCCCGCAUCAAAUAAUAGCCCAUCAGACGCGUGGUAAAUUAAAUUGUAAACUAACAGCACGUUGAAUAACUUGAAAUAAUUUUUUAAUUUUAAAAAAAUAUACAAAUUAUUAUGAAACUCAUGUAGGGUUUUUAAACAAUUUUUUCAUUAUAGAAAAUAUAUAUAUAUAAGUACUAAAACGUAUUAUAAUAACUAACUUCAGAUUUAUUUAAAACAUAACAAAACUUAUAAUAUUUUAGUAACAAUUACACUUUAUAUAUAAUCUUCGUUCAGCACUAGUAUUAAUAUUAUUAAAUUAUAACCAAACUUUUCUUAUGGCUUUUAUACUCCUACUAAAAUAUAUACAUUUAAAUAUCCUAUUAUUUUUUUAAUUUAUUCCCAAGUGUAUUUAUUUAUAUCGAACUGUGCUUUAUGUUGUUUUAUUUCUAAAAAACCGAAUUAUAUAAUUGAAUAUUUUUUAUACGAUUGUCAAUGUUAUGGUAUAAUAUGUGUUUGUUAUUUUUUUAAUAAUGGUCGAUCGUUGGAAAAGUACGUAGUACGAUAGACAAGAUAUUUAUAACUUAUAACAACUUGUGGAGAAAUUUUUGAUUUAUGAUUUUUUCAAAACCAUUUAUUGUAUCCAUUAUUAUUAUGUUUAAUUGAGUUCUAUAUUAUCUUAUCUUAUUAUUUUGUUAUGUUAUUUACUUGAAGUAUUAUUAUAAUUUUUUUUGAAACUAAAAAUAAAGUAUACCUUAUAUAGGUCUUUAUGUAAUUCAUAAAAAUAAUUUGAUGUUUUUGUAAAUUAUUAUGAAUAUUUACAUAAUAAAUCAACUAAGAAAUUAUAAACGUA
Daktulosphaira vitifoliae (grape phylloxera) is the source of this 3293-nucleotide RNA transcript. It is a transcript of the gene named protein bicaudal C homolog 1, with no coding region annotated. NCBI's taxonomy places the organism in Eukaryota, Metazoa, Arthropoda, Insecta, Hemiptera, Phylloxeridae. The transcript is spliced from 15 exons. The record is from RefSeq and is a predicted model, not a curated record.